GUCUUUUCUAUGGAAGCUUGCUUCCACUGAGGAGAUAGUGGCGAACGGGUGAGUAACACGUGGGUAACCUGCCCAUAAGAGGGGGGUAACAUCCGGAAACGGGUGCUAAUACCGCAUAGUUUUCUUGAUCGCAUGAUUGAGAAAGGAAAGACGGCCUUUGUGCUGUCGCUUAUGGAUGGACCCGCGGCGUAUUAGUUAGUUGGUGAGGUAACGGCUCACCAAGACGAUGAUACGUAGCCGACCUGAGAGGGUGAUCGGCCACAUUGGGACUGAGACACGGCCCAAACUCCUACGGGAGGCAGCAGUAGGGAAUCUUCCGCAAUGGACGAAAGUCUGACGGAGCAACGCCGCGUGAGUGAAGAAGGUUUUCGGAUCGUAAAACUCUGUUGUCAGAGAAGAACAAGUUGGAGAGUAACUGCUCCAGCCUUGACGGUAUCUGACCAGAAAGCCACGGCUAACUACGUGCCAGCAGCCGCGGUAAUACGUAGGUGGCAAGCGUUGUCCGGAUUUAUUGGGCGUAAAGCGAGCGCAGGCGGUUCCUUAAGUCUGAUGUGAAAGCCCACGGCUCAACCGUGGAAGGUCAUUGGAAACUGGGGAACUUGAGUGCAGAAGAGGAGAGUGGAAUUCCAUG
RNAcentral lists this ribosomal RNA (631 nucleotides) under uncultured Trichococcus sp. Its description in RNAcentral is "bacterial SSU rRNA". It matches the Rfam family "Bacterial small subunit ribosomal RNA", at positions 61 to 673 of the family's 1533-position model. Lineage: Bacteria; Bacillati; Bacillota; Bacilli; Lactobacillales; Carnobacteriaceae. The record is from RNAcentral.